Molecule: long non-coding RNA, 517 nt
Filed under: Cricetulus griseus (Chinese hamster)
Lineage: Eukaryota; Metazoa; Chordata; Mammalia; Rodentia; Cricetidae
Description: lncRNA (ENSCGRG00015032503.1)
Source: RNAcentral
CAGGAAGGGCCCUCUUUUCCCCUCCGCUCCUGCUCCAGCAGUACAAUGUGAUCUACCAGCAAGGAGGGACACCGUCAAGCAGGUAGAAAGUGCUUAACCAAGUGAGGGUAAUUAUGAAGGACGUGUUCUGGGUGCCAGCAACAUAGUGGAUGUUCAGUAAAUAACAAAGGGGGAAAAAUAGCUAUGGAUGACAUCAAAAUUGAAAAAGAUUUCCUGUGAACAAGAUACCUCUUAAUUAGAAGAGAUGACAUUUCAUCAAGCAACAUGGCCAUUUUAUCCAUUUGAUCAGAUAUAACUUGCCAAAGGAGAACCUCUCCCAAAUUUAGGGUUGGGAAAAGGUUUUGUUUUUGUCUUUUCAGGAGAAUAAAGGUGUCCAGCUAAGUAAUCCAGAGACCACUGGACAAAUAAGACAUCUGAUGAAAAAGAAAAAAAAUUAUCCAAAAAUUUUCCAUAAGAAAAGGAUUAAAUUGGCCUCUUGCCAUACUAUAUUUCCAACAGAAUAAAAUUUCACAUCUUC